AUUCUCUUCAGUAGAACGUACACUAAAACUGGAACGAUACAGAGAAGAUUAGCAUGGCCCCUGCGUAAGGAUGACAUGCAAAUUCAUGAAAUGUUACAUAUUUUU
This is a small nuclear RNA of Grammomys surdaster, 105 nucleotides long. The record is from RefSeq and is a predicted model, not a curated record. NCBI's taxonomy places the organism in Eukaryota, Metazoa, Chordata, Mammalia, Rodentia, Muridae.